Vitis vinifera (wine grape) is the source of this 1118-nucleotide long non-coding RNA. RefSeq lists it as uncharacterized. The record is from RefSeq and is a predicted model, not a curated record. The transcript has 6 exons. Lineage: Eukaryota; Viridiplantae; Streptophyta; Magnoliopsida; Vitales; Vitaceae.
AAAAAAAUAUCAGCAUAGUAGGAGCUUGAAAUUUUAAAUCUGACAGUGGAUUGGACAUGUGGGCGCAUCUCUUACGUGGAUCUAACCUCCAAAGACGUGUUCUACACUCAGUUCUUUCCAUAACCACACCCAUUUGCCUCCCAAAUCACUAACCCUUAAUUUCCCAAAUGUGUUAUCCCUCCGUAGCCAGCCUCUGCCGCCAUUGAUUUGAUCUCUUGAGUCGCAAUUCACUUUCUCCCUUUCUCGAAAAACUCCUCGUUUCUCCCUCUACACCCUUCAUCUUUAGGAGGAUUCACUGCUUCGAUGACAUUCAAAGAACAGCCAGACCUGUGUUAGUGUUUUAGGUGAUAAUUCUCUCAUGAAUAGCAUCUUGUCUGGAAACGCUACGGAUAAGAACAUGUCACCUUCAUCUAGAGGUUUGUUUUUUUGGAAAGUACAAUAGCAUGAGCGGAGUCGGAAGAAGUGGAUAAGAAAGGAAAGCAUUAGACGAUUGAUAAGAUGCGGAAGCAUCUUUGGCCUUGAGAAGAAUGGAAGCUGAAGCCAUAUUUCCAAUGGAUCAAUAGGAAAGAUGGUGUGAAGAACGCUCAUCCCAACAGAUAAGGAGGGUUCAAAUCAACAACUAGUGAUAAAUGGGCCUUGUAGUUGAAUUUAACUUAUUCAAUGGUGAGGAUAUGAUCAUAAAAAUUGAAAAUGGCUCGUAUGGCAAGAAGAUGUGAUAUGAAAAGGUCCAUGAUAGAGAAGAAUGUGUACUUACCUAGAAAUUAAUAUGCACAGUCAAGGAGAAAAAGAAUUCUCAAGAUCGAAUCAAUGAUUUAGCAAAAUAUAAGAUACCUAGUUUUAGAGCAUUGCCCCCUGGAGUGAAGUUUGGACCAGGAUGGGUAGGAGAGAACGAUCGGACACCACCAAAGCCACUUUUUGUGCCUUCAUCAACAUUACUCUCAUCUCUCCCUCGAGAUUCUGCUCCUGUUGCUAUACCUUGCAAUAUUUUAGUACAUGCUAUAAGACAUGGAUAUGAAUAUUUCAUAAAUUCAUAAAUUAUAACUUUCAUUAUAAAUAAUUAGAAAAUUAAAAAAAAUGAUAAUGCAUAAUAAUAUUUUGUCUAAAAUAUAUUAUUAACA